This 209-nucleotide long non-coding RNA is filed under the name Ananas comosus (pineapple). RNAcentral describes it as "long non-coding RNA (ACOM_LNC023246)". The record is from RNAcentral. Lineage: Eukaryota; Viridiplantae; Streptophyta; Magnoliopsida; Poales; Bromeliaceae.
AAAUCCUAUUCUAAUUGCGCUCUCUCUUUCUUUUUCACUCACUCACAGAGUCGCUUUUCCUAAUUUUUUUAAUAUUAUAAUAUCGUAUUUCAUGCAUUCAUUUUGUAUGUUGAGUUAUUAGACAUUUUUUGUAUCGAAUUUUAGAUAAUAUUUUAUAAAAAUUAAACUAUAAAUUGCACAAUGUUAAGAAUUUCAAACAGCCCGUUUAG